Molecule: ribosomal RNA, 2910 nt
Filed under: Escherichia coli
Lineage: Bacteria; Pseudomonadati; Pseudomonadota; Gammaproteobacteria; Enterobacterales; Enterobacteriaceae
Description: 23S ribosomal RNA
Rfam family: Bacterial large subunit ribosomal RNA
Source: RNAcentral
GGUUAAGCGACUAAGCGUACACGGUGGAUGCCCUGGCAGUCAGAGGCGAUGAAGGACGUGCUAAUCUGCGAUAAGCGUCGGUAAGGUGAUAUGAACCGUUAUAACCGGCGAUUUCCGAAUGGGGAAACCCAGUGUGUUUCGACACACUAUCAUUAACUGAAUCCAUAGGUUAAUGAGGCGAACCGGGGGAACUGAAACAUCUAAGUACCCCGAGGAAAAGAAAUCAACCGAGAUUCCCCCAGUAGCGGCGAGCGAACGGGGAGGAGCCCAGAGCCUGAAUCAGUGUGUGUGUUAGUGGAAGCGUCUGGAAAGGCGCGCGAUACAGGGUGACAGCCCCGUACACAAAAAUGCACAUGCUGUGAGCUCGAUGAGUAGGGCGGGACACGUGGUAUCCUGUCUGAAUAUGGGGGGACCAUCCUCCAAGGCUAAAUACUCCCUGACUGACCGAUAGUGAACCAGUACCGUGAGGGAAAGGCGAAAAGAACCCCGGCGAGGGGGAGUGAAAAAGAACCUGAAACCGUGUACGUACAAGCAGUGGGAGCACAGAGCAAUCUGUGUGACUGCGUACCUUUGUAUAAUGGGUCAGCGACUUAUAUUCUGUAGCAAGGUUAACCGAAUAGGGGGAGCCGAAGGGAAACCGAGUCUUAACUGGGCGUUAAGUUGCAGGGUAUAGACCCGAAACCCGGUGAUCUAGCCAUGGGCAGGUUGAAGGUUGGGUAACACUAACUGGAGGACCGAACCGACUAAUGUUGAAAAAUUAGCGGAUGACUUGUGGCUGGGGGUGAAAGGCCAAUCAAACCGGGAGAUAGCUGGUUCUCCCCGAAAGCUAUUUAGGUAGCGCCUCGUGAAUUCAUCUCCGGGGGUAGAGCACUGUUUCGGCAAGGGGGUCAUCCCGACUUACCAACCCGAUGCAAACUGCGAAUACCGGAGAAUGUUAUCACGGGAGACACACGGCGGGUGCUAACGUCCGUCGUGAAGAGGGAAACAACCCAGACCGCCAGCUAAGGUCCCAAAGUCAUGGUUAAGUGGGAAACGAUGUGGGAAGGCCCAGACAGCCAGGAUGUUGGCUUAGAAGCAGCCAUCAUUUAAAGAAAGCGUAAUAGCUCACUGGUCGAGUCGGCCUGCGCGGAAGAUGUAACGGGGCUAAACCAUGCACCGAAGCUGCGGCAGCGACACUGUGUGUUGUUGGGUAGGGGAGCGUUCUGUAAGCCUGUGAAGGUGUGCUGUGAGGCAUGCUGGAGGUAUCAGAAGUGCGAAUGCUGACAUAAGUAACGAUAAAGCGGGUGAAAAGCCCGCUCGCCGGAAGACCAAGGGUUCCUGUCCAACGUUAAUCGGGGCAGGGUGAGUCGACCCCUAAGGCGAGGCCGAAAGGCGUAGUCGAUGGGAAACAGGUUAAUAUUCCUGUACUUGGUGUUACUGCGAAGGGGGGGACGGAGAAGGCUAUGUUGGCCGGGCGACGGUUGUCCCGGUUUAAGCGUGUAGGCUGGUUUUCCGAGGCAAAUCCGGAAAAUCAAGGCUGAGGCGUGAUGACGAGGCACUACGGUGCUGAAGCAACAAAUGCCCUGCUUCCAGGAAAAGCCUCUAAGCAUCAGGUAACAUCAAAUCGUACCCCAAACCGACACAGGUGGUCAGGUAGAGAAUACCAAGGCGCUUGAGAGAACUCGGGUGAAGGAACUAGGCAAAAUGGUGCCGUAACUUCGGGAGAAGGCACGCUGAUAUGUAGGUGAAGUCCCUCGCGGAUGGAGCUGAAAUCAGUCGAAGAUACCAGCUGGCUGCAACUGUUUAUUAAAAACACAGCACUGUGCAAACACGAAAGUGGACGUAUACGGUGUGACGCCUGCCCGGUGCCGGAAGGUUAAUUGAUGGGGUCAGCGCAAGCGAAGCUCUUGAUCGAAGCCCCGGUAAACGGCGGCCGUAACUAUAACGGUCCUAAGGUAGCGAAAUUCCUUGUCGGGUAAGUUCCGACCUGCACGAAUGGCGUAAUGAUGGCCAGGCUGUCUCCACCCGAGACUCAGUGAAAUUGAACUCGCUGUGAAGAUGCAGUGUACCCGCGGCAAGACGGAAAGACCCCGUGAACCUUUACUAUAGCUUGACACUGAACAUUGAGCCUUGAUGUGUAGGAUAGGUGGGAGGCUUUGAAGUGUGGACGCCAGUCUGCAUGGAGCCGACCUUGAAAUACCACCCUUUAAUGUUUGAUGUUCUAACGUGGACCCGUGAUCCGGGUUGCGGACAGUGUCUGGUGGGUAGUUUGACUGGGGCGGUCUCCUCCUAAAGAGUAACGGAGGAGCACGAAGGUUGGCUAAUCCCCGGUCGGACAUCAGGAGGUUAGUGCAAUGGCAUAAGCCAGCUUGACUGCGAGCGUGACGGCGCGAGCAGGUGCGAAAGCAGGUCAUAGUGAUCCGGUGGUUCUGAAUGGAAGGGCCAUCGCUCAACGGAUAAAAGGUACUCCGGGGAUAACAGGCUGAUACCGCCCAAGAGUUCAUAUCGACGGCGGUGUUUGGCACCUCGAUGUCGGCUCAUCACAUCCUGGGGCUGAAGUAGGUCCCAAGGGUAUGGCUGUUCGCCAUUUAAAGUGGUACGCGAGCUGGGUUUAGAACGUCGUGAGACAGUUCGGUCCCUAUCUGCCGUGGGCGCUGGAGAACUGAGGGGGGCUGCUCCUAGUACGAGAGGACCGGAGUGGACGCAUCACUGGUGUUCGGGUUGUCAUGCCAAUGGCACUGCCCGGUAGCUAAAUGCGGAAGAGAUAAGUGCUGAAAGCAUCUAAGCACGAAACUUGCCCCGAGAUGAGUUCUCCCUGACCCUUUAAGGGUCCUGAAGGAACGUUGAAGACGACGACGUUGAUAGGCCGGGUGUGUAAGCGCAGCGAUGCGUUGAGCUAACCGGUACUAAUGAACCGUGAGGCUUAACCUU